RNAcentral lists this ribosomal RNA (497 nucleotides) under uncultured bacterium. Its description in RNAcentral is "partial 16S ribosomal RNA". It matches the Rfam family "Bacterial small subunit ribosomal RNA", at positions 28 to 507 of the family's 1533-position model. The record is from RNAcentral.
GACGAACGCUGGCGGCGUGCCUAAUACAUGCAAGUAGAACGCUGAAGAGAGGAGCUUGCUCUUCUUGGAUGAGUUGCGAAAGGGUGAGUAACGCGUAGGUAACCUGCCUUGUAGCGGGGGAUAACUAUUGGAAACGAUAGCUAAUACCGCAUAACAAUGGAUGACACAUGUCAUUUAUUUGAAAGGGGCAAUUGCUCCACUACAAGAUGGACCUGCGUUGUAUUAGCUAGUAGGUGAGGUAAUGGCUCACCUAGGAGACGAUACAUAGCCGACCUGAGAGGGUAAGCGGCCACACUGGGAUUGGGACACGGCCCAGACUCCUACGGGAGACAGCAGUACGGAAUCUUCGGCAAUGGGGGCAAUCGUGACCGAGCAACGCCGCGUGAGUGAAGGAGGUUUUCGGAUCGUAAAGCUCUGUUAUAAUUCAAGAUCGGGUGUGAGAGUUGAAAGUUCACACUGUGACGGUAGCGUACCAGAAAGAGACGGCUAACUACGUG